AAAAAUAAAAAAAAUAUUAUUUUAAUACAUUUCUAAAAUAAAAUAAUUAUUAAAAAACCGAAACAUAUCACGGGAGAGAAGGGAGUAGCCAGCAGAUAGAAUGAAAAGGAAGGGAGGGAGGCAUGUCGGGAAAGAAAAUGGUGGCCUGCUCUCGGGUAACUGAUGAGGAAGGUGGUGAUGAUGGCAGGUUUCGAUUCACCUCCUUUUUCUUAAAGAAGGGAAUCGUUGGGCAGACAGAAGAAGAAGGGGGGGAGGAAGUGGUGUCAGAGAAGAAAAACUCGAAGGUGAAGGUCUUGAACUGGCACCAAUGAUGACGAGCAUGAUAAUGCUGGUAGCUGUACUUCUGAGAUGGAGUAAAGGCUUCCGAAUAAAAAAAAAGGUGAGGUGUAAGUCUGUGGGGUUCGUUUAGAUGCAUUAUGUCUAUGCUGGGAACCUUCCUCUAGGCAGGUACUGCUAGGCUCGGUGUGUGGUUUCAUCGAAUUCUUAUUCCAUUACCUCUAUGUUUUUUCUUCCUUUUUUACGGCAAUCAUCUUAGUUUGGUUGUGUUGUUA
Populus nigra (black poplar) is the source of this 551-nucleotide long non-coding RNA. RefSeq lists it as uncharacterized. The record is from RefSeq and is a predicted model, not a curated record. The transcript is spliced from 2 exons. NCBI's taxonomy places the organism in Eukaryota, Viridiplantae, Streptophyta, Magnoliopsida, Malpighiales, Salicaceae.